Molecule: ribosomal RNA, 245 nt
Filed under: uncultured Nitrosomonas sp.
Lineage: Bacteria; Pseudomonadati; Pseudomonadota; Betaproteobacteria; Nitrosomonadales; Nitrosomonadaceae
Description: partial 16S ribosomal RNA
Rfam family: Bacterial small subunit ribosomal RNA
Source: RNAcentral
UACGUAGGGUGCGAGCGUUAAUCGGAAUUACUGGGCGUAAAGAGUGCGUAGGCGGUUCUUGAAGUCCGCUGUGAAAGCCCCGGGCUUAACCUGGGAAUGGCAGUGGAAACUGGAGGACUUGAAUUGAGCAGAGGGGGGUGGAAUGCCGCGUGUAGCAGUGAAAUGCGUAGAGAUGCGGCGGAACACCGAUGGCGAAGGCAGCCCCCUGGGCUUAAAUUGACGCUGAGGCACGAAAGCGUGGGGAG